CCUACGGGUGGCAGCAGUGAGGAAUAUUGGUCAAUGGCCGGAAGGCUGAACCAGCCAUGCCGCGUGAAGGUCAGUGCCCUAUGGGCGUUAAACUUCUUUUGUGCGGGAGCAAUAAUGGUCACGUGUGGCCAGACGAGAGUACCGUACGAAUAAGCAUCGGCUAACUCCGUGCCAGCAGCCGCGGUAAUACGGGGGAUGCAAGCGUUAUCCGGAUUUAUUGGGUUUAAAGGGUGCGUAGGCUGUGAGGUAAGUCAGCGGUGAAAUGCCCCCGGUCAACGGGGUGAAGUGCCAUUGAUACUGCCUUGCUGGAAUGCGGAUGCCGGGGGAGGAAUGUGUGGUGGAGCGGGGAAAUGCAUAGAUAUCACACAGAACACCGAUUGCGAAGGCAUGUCACGAAUCCGCGAUUGACGCUGAUGCACGAAAGCGUGGGUAUCAAACAGGAUUAGAUACCCCAGUAGUC
Molecule: ribosomal RNA, 460 nt
Filed under: uncultured bacterium
Lineage: Bacteria
Description: partial 16S ribosomal RNA
Rfam family: Bacterial small subunit ribosomal RNA
Source: RNAcentral